GUCUCACCCAGCCACUUGCUGGGUGUUGGAGCCAGCAGAGGGUUUGGGGGUGCCACAGAGCUGGGCAGCUGCAACUGCUGAUGCUGCUUGUCCUUCACAACCUCUUUACUGCUUAUUGGGUGAUUUUUUUUCAGAAAACUCACUGGACCCACACAUUGCACUCAAUUCUCUUGGAGGCGAAAGGGAUGAUUGAAUUGGCACAACAUUAAAAAGGGAAAAAGUCCAAGCAGACCUGGGGUAGUUUAUCCCUCCAUGCAAAAGGUUUGGAGCCUGGCUAAUGUGGUCAUGGAGCAUCUGGAAUGGCUUGGCAUGCAUGAAGAGCAAGCUCCCAUCUCCAGAGAGCAAAGCAAUAAACCUUUUGUAUCACUGAAUUCCAGGAGGAGUAGUUCCAGGAGAGCUCAGGAAGAAACAGAAAGCUGCACAACAGCCUAAGAGCAGCUACCCACAGGAUUGAUGUGCUGGCUGGAUUUCAUGUUUAGGUGGGAUGCUUCCAGCCUGUGCUUCAGGUACUGAACUGCUCCUGUGUUUUAAGCUCACACUUUGAUUUGGUGCCAUGGGAGAUGUUCUGGAAUUGUGUGGUUAAAUGGUGUGGUGUAUUAUUGUAGAGUUUCUUUCUGAUAUUCAGGAGCUAAAUUAUUGCCAUCCCAUUACCCACUUAUGGCCUUAAUAAGAAAGCUGUGAAGAUCCAUGUUUUAUCCUUUUAGGGUACAAACUGUAUAACCAAAGGGACUAACCCCAUUCUGGUGAAUGGCUGAAAAUAUUUACUAUGGGAUAAAAAUUAAAUUAUGCUGAGAAACAUUGCUUUUAUGAAACAAUUUGUGCUGAGAAGAUGAGUCUGCUAUGAAAAGCACAGGAUUUUGUUGGAAAAGUGCCAGAACAGCACUGUCCCAAAAUGAUUAAUUUGACUUCACUAUAAAUUUGCUUAAUUCAAAUGAAUGGCUGGGCUUUGGGCUGGUUGGUAUUUUAGGUGGAAAUGGUUCAAAAUGGGAGUUGAAUGGCAAAGAUUUGGGAAAAUCUUCAUGGGUAAAGACUUAGACCCAAG
This 1042-nucleotide long non-coding RNA is filed under the name Cyanistes caeruleus (blue tit). RNAcentral's name for it is "lncRNA (ENSCCEG00000021025.1)". The record is from RNAcentral. Lineage: Eukaryota; Metazoa; Chordata; Aves; Passeriformes; Paridae.